This 428-nucleotide ribosomal RNA is filed under the name Acidobacteriota bacterium. RNAcentral describes it as "Acidobacteria bacterium partial 16S ribosomal RNA". It matches the Rfam family "Bacterial small subunit ribosomal RNA", at positions 355 to 776 of the family's 1533-position model. The record is from RNAcentral. Lineage: Bacteria; Pseudomonadati; Acidobacteriota.
UGGGGAAUUUUGGACAAUGGGGGAAACCCUGAUCCAGCCAUCCCGCGUGUGCGAUGAAGGCCUUCGGGUUGUAAGCACUUUUGGCAGGAAAGAAACGUCAUGGGUUAAUACCCCGUGAAACUGACGGUACCUGCAGAAUAAGCACCGGCUAAAUACGUGCCAGCAGCCGCGGUAAUACGUAGGGUGCAAGCGUUAAUCGGAAUUACUGGGCGUAAAGCGUGCGCAGGCGGUUCGGAAAGAAAGAUGUGAAAUCCCAGAGCUCAACUUUGGAACUGCAUUUUUAACUACCGGGCUAGAGUGUGUCAGAGGGAGGUGGAAUUCCGCGUGUAGCAGUGAAAUGCGUAGAUAUGCGGAGGAACACCGAUGGCGAAGGCAGCCUCCUGGGAUAACACUGACGCUCAUGCACGAAAGCGUGGGGAGCAAACAGG